Molecule: ribosomal RNA, 442 nt
Filed under: uncultured bacterium
Lineage: Bacteria
Description: bacterial SSU rRNA
Rfam family: Bacterial small subunit ribosomal RNA
Source: RNAcentral
CCUACGGGCGGCAGCAGUGGGGAAUUUUCCGCAAUGGGCGAAAGCCUGGCGGAGCAAUGCCGCGUGGAGGUAGAAGGCCCACGGGUCGUGAACUUCUUUUCCCGGAGAAGAAGCAAUGACGGUAUCUGGGGGAUAAGCAUCGGCUAACUCUGUGCCAGCAGCCGCGGUAAUACAGAGGGUGCAAGCGUUAUCCGGAAUGAUUGGGCGUAAAGCGUCUGUAGGUGGCUUUUUAAGUCCGCCGUCAAAUCCCAGGGCUCAACCCUGGACAGGCGGUGGAAACUACCAAGCUGGAGUACGGUAGGGGCAGAGGGAAUUUCCGGUGGAGCGGUGAAAUGCGUAGAGAUCGGAAAGAACACCAACGGCGAAAGCACUCCGCUGGGCCGACACUGACACUGAGAGACGAAAGCUAGGGGAGCGAAUGGGAUUAGAUACCCCAGUAGUC